AGUUAAUUAACCUAAAAGUAUAUAUUUUGAAAAUAUAAUCUAAGAAAAUAAAAUUUUCUAUUAACUU
This 67-nucleotide transfer RNA is filed under the name Callitettix biformis. RNAcentral describes it as "tRNA-Ser". The record is from RNAcentral. Lineage: Eukaryota; Metazoa; Arthropoda; Insecta; Hemiptera; Cercopidae.